This is a non-coding RNA of Pelobates cultripes (western spadefoot toad), 239 nucleotides long. Lineage: Eukaryota; Metazoa; Chordata; Amphibia; Anura; Pelobatidae. The record is from the annotation of a GenBank genome assembly.
GUUACUUUAAAGCAGAUCUGCAUACAAAAUAAAAAACCUCUACAAAUGGAAUGCAUAUGGCAGUCAAAGUUCUCAUUUUUCACAGUUUUUUGUCAUUUUGUAAUGAACAUGUUUUUAAUAAAUAUGUGGACACAGAAUAUGAGAAAAUCAGUGCCUAAACUCUUAAUGAGCAGUUUAAAAGUUAUUGAAAAUAAAAAAAAUAUUUUAAAAAGUUUUAUUAGUGACCCGAAUGCGAUGAU